This is a non-coding RNA of Polyporus arcularius HHB13444, 110 nucleotides long. The record is from the annotation of a GenBank genome assembly. NCBI's taxonomy places the organism in Eukaryota, Fungi, Basidiomycota, Agaricomycetes, Polyporales, Polyporaceae.
GUCCCUGUCGAUUAGUGGUUAGAUCAUCACGUUGUGGUAUCGGGUUUCGAACGUCCGUUCUUACUCGAGUACAAGCCGUGGGGACGCAGGCUCGAAUCCUGCCAGGGACA